Molecule: long non-coding RNA, 452 nt
Organism: Neocloeon triangulifer
Lineage: Eukaryota; Metazoa; Arthropoda; Insecta; Ephemeroptera; Baetidae
Exons: 3
Source: RefSeq, a predicted model, not a curated record
CAUUAAUUCUACGAUAACUUCAUUUAUAGGCCUGCAGUCGUUUACUCGUAAUGCUAAGUAGAGUUAUAACGAUGGAGCUAAAAGGAUGUGUUUUCUUCGUAUUUAUUAUAUUUGUGGUGAUUUCGCAUGCCGAUGCCGACCGCAAAAGUUUUUGGAACUUUCCAAUCUCAGCACAAGCCUUGGAGGAUCGGUACCAACUCCGAUUAAAAAAAGGAAAAUCUAACACAGCGAAGAAUGUAAAAGCGGCGAAAAAGGGAGGCGAUGCUGCAGCUAAAACUGAUAGAGCUAAACUUCUACAGUGCCAAAAAAGUCAUCAGGAAUUUGUCGAAAAUACUUAUAAACAACUUGAGGCUGCCUUAGGAGCAUAAUUAUGCUGCGUGGAUGAACAUUUUUGAGUUGAUAAACAAACGCAUUGUGAGGAUAUUAAUGCUAAAUUUAACCUUAUAAAGUGA